RNAcentral lists this ribosomal RNA (720 nucleotides) under Psychrobacter celer. RNAcentral describes it as "bacterial SSU rRNA". It matches the Rfam family "Bacterial small subunit ribosomal RNA", at positions 733 to 1451 of the family's 1533-position model. The record is from RNAcentral. Lineage: Bacteria; Pseudomonadati; Pseudomonadota; Gammaproteobacteria; Moraxellales; Moraxellaceae.
CAUCAUACUGACACUGAGGCUCGAAAGCGUGGGUAGCAAACAGGAUUAGAUACCCUGGUAGUCCACGCCGUAAACGAUGUCUACUAGUCGUUGGGUCCCUUGAGGACUUAGUGACGCAGCUAACGCAAUAAGUAGACCGCCUGGGGAGUACGGCCGCAAGGUUAAAACUCAAAUGAAUNGNCGGGGGCCCGCACNAGCGGUGGAGCAUGUGGUUUANUUCGAUGCAACGCGAAGAACCUUACCUGGUCUUGACAUACACAGAAUCNUGUAGAGAUNCGAGAGUGCCUUCGGGAAUUNUGAUACAGGUGCUGCAUGGCUGUCGUCAGCUNGUGUCGUGAGAUGUUGGGUUAAGUCCCGCAACGAGCGCAACCCUUGUCCUUAGUUACCAGCGGGUUAAGCCGGGAACUCUAAGGAUACUGCCAGUGACAAACUGGAGGAAGGCGGGGACGACGUCAAGUCAUCAUGGCCCUUACGACCAGGGCUACACACNUGCUACAAUGGUAGGUACAGAGGGCAGCUACACAGCGAUGUGAUGCGAAUCUCAAAAAGCCUAUCGUAGUCCAGAUUGGAGUNUGCAACUCGACUCCAUGAAGUAGGAAUCGCUAGUAAUCGCGGAUCAGAAUGCCGCGGUGAAUACGUUCCCGGGCCUUGUACACACCGCCCGUCACACCAUGGGAGUUGAUUGCACCAGAAGUGGUUAGCCGAACCUUUUAGGACGGC